GGUGGCUCAGUGAUAGAGUGCUUGCCUUGCAUGCAUGAAGCCCUGGGUUCAAUUCCUAAGCACCA
RNAcentral lists this transfer RNA (65 nucleotides) under Dipodomys ordii (Ord's kangaroo rat). It matches the Rfam family "tRNA". Rfam says of the family: Transfer RNA (tRNA) molecules are approximately 80 nucleotides in length. Their secondary structure includes four short double-helical elements and three loops (D, anti-codon, and T loops). Further hydrogen bonds mediate the characteristic L-shaped molecular structure. tRNAs have two regions of fundamental functional importance: the anti-codon, which is responsible for specific mRNA codon recognition, and the 3' end, to which the tRNAs corresponding amino acid is attached (by aminoacyl-tRNA synthetases). tRNAs cope with the degeneracy of the genetic code in two manners: having more than one tRNA (with a specific anti-codon) for a particular amino acid; and 'wobble' base-pairing, i.e. permitting non-standard base-pairing at the 3rd anti-codon position. The record is from Rfam by way of RNAcentral. Lineage: Eukaryota; Metazoa; Chordata; Mammalia; Rodentia; Heteromyidae.